Molecule: ribosomal RNA, 388 nt
Filed under: Gephyrocapsa cf. muellerae
Lineage: Eukaryota; Haptophyta; Isochrysidales; Noelaerhabdaceae
Description: partial small subunit ribosomal RNA
Rfam family: Eukaryotic small subunit ribosomal RNA
Source: RNAcentral
AUUCCAGCUCCAAUAGCGUAUAUUAAAGUUGUUGCAGUUAAAACGCUCGUAGUCGGAUUUCGGGGCGGGCCGACCGGUCUGCCGAUGGGUAUGCACUGGCCGGCGCGUCCUUCCACCCGGAGACCGCGCCUACUCUUAACUGAGCGGGCGCGGGAGACGGGUCUUUUACUUUGAAAAAAUCAGAGUGUUUCAAGCAGGCAGUCGCUCUUGCAUGGAUUAGCAUGGGAUAAUGAAAUAGGACUCUGGUGCUAUUUUGUUGGUUUCGAACACCGGAGUAAUGAUUAACAGGGACAGUCAGGGGCACUCGUAUUCCGCCGAGAGAGGUGAAAUUCUCAGGUCACCGGAAGACCACCCCCCCCGCCACCAUCUCCCAGCCCUGUUCUCAUUA